Vicia villosa (hairy vetch) is the source of this 3437-nucleotide RNA transcript. It is a transcript of the gene named probable pre-mRNA-splicing factor ATP-dependent RNA helicase DEAH2, with no coding region annotated. The record is from RefSeq and is a predicted model, not a curated record. Lineage: Eukaryota; Viridiplantae; Streptophyta; Magnoliopsida; Fabales; Fabaceae. The transcript has 17 exons.
AUUAGGUGAACAAAACUAAAUCCAGUUUUCAACAAAACUCUCGUUCAUCGCAUUUCACCGAAAUUUCUGAGUUCUUCUCAAAGAGAAUCCAAACCCAGUUUCAUCGUACUUCACCGAAACCCUUUUCACCAUCCCAGUGACGACAACGAAGCUCAAGAAUUUUGAGAGUUCACCAUCGCCCAUUUCAUAGUGACGACAUGCAUUGGUAAAACGAAAGUAGGGUUUUAUACUUUGAGCGACAUGCAUUGGUAGCUGAAGAAAUUAGGGUUUUAUACUCUUGAAAAUGCUUCAAAACAGUUGAUAGAUCACUUGAGGAAUGAGUAUGAUAAGGUUCUUGAACACAACAAUGACUUGAUUUUUGGUGAAUUGAGGCAGAGGAAUGUGAAUAGUAGUUCUGAGGAUUUAGUUGCUUCUCUGGUGGGCGAUGAAGGUGAAAUUGGGAAGGGCGAUGAUAGUGUGAAGGCGAGUUCGGUCGAGCUCGAGACACCGAGAAAAUAAACUGAAAGGAGUGUCUACAAAAUCGAAAACGGUGGAAUCGGCUGACUGGAAGUGGAUAAUGGAAGAAGAUCCAAAUUUGAAUAGUUUAAAGACAUCGAUGACAUUGAAUUCUUCGAUGCAUGAAAAGGAUCACAAGGAGAGGGUACUCCUUUGGUUUGUGGUUUCCCUCUCGCUAUUGGUAGUCGGAUAUAUUCUGGAGAUUUUAGGUAUUGAAUACUCAGUCUCAGCACAAAACAAAACUGAAAGGAAUUCUAUUGGCAGCUACAAGGAAGCAGAGAUUUGAGAGAGUAACCAAGAACCUGAAGUUGACAAGAGUGUUUUCUACUUUGGUAGCAGAGAUGAGAGUAAUCGAUGACGGCGUUAAGGGAGUCAUGGUCCCGAAGGAACUCAGUGAGAGGAGUCCAGUGCUACUAUUCAUGAGUGGCGGCAUGGGAGCCGGAAAAGUAUCGUUCUUAAAGACAUUCUAAGAGAGCAUCUUCAAAGGCUGUGGUUGUUGAGGCAGAUGCCUUUAAGGAGAGAGAUGUUACAUAUAAAACCCUUAAUUCUAGAGGUCACCAUGAUGACAUGCUUCAAACUUCUGGAUUGGUACAUCAAUCUCCCACUGAUGCUGCUUCGUCUCUACUCGUGACAUGCUGUGUGUUUGUGCCAAACAAGAGAAUGAGAUGGGCCUGUGAAUGUGAUUCUUUGAGACUUAUUUAAGGAUAUGCUCAGGUGGAUGCAAGCAACACUAGUUGACUUUUAUAUCAAUGUUGUGGCCCUAGCAGGAAACUUGUUUUUGCUGAGCCUGUUCCCAAGGAUAACGAAGCUGCAACUUGGAGAGACAAGUUAGAUCAGCUUUAUAAGAGUUCAUCACAAAGUUUUAGAGUUGUUGUUCACGGAUCAAAAAUUAGCUCCUCAAUUCUCUCACGCUCGCUUGAUACGCUACUUGUUUAUAUGAUAUUUGGAGCAUGUCCUUCAGAAAUGAGGUGGAAAUGAGACAAAGUUUGCUGUGUAAUAUAUUUUACAUUGAAGACAGUGCAUUAGAAGUUAAGUAGAAGUGAAAAUGAAUUAAAUUGAUAGUUUGAGAGAGAAUUCUCUAAACCGUAUCUGAAUUUCAUGCAUGUGAAUGAGUAACAACAAUCAGUUGAAAUUAGUUAAAUUCUCCUAACUGGUAAUUGUUUCACUUUAUUAUAACUAACUGACUAAAGAGUAUAAGUCUAUAACAGAGUUUAAAAGGGCUGAAAAUAGCAGCUAGAAAUUUGUCUUCAAGUGGACUCACAGGAGAGUUAGUAUAUUCCAUAUGGAAGCUCACUAUGCUACAGUAUUUGAAUUUUUCAAACAAUAGCUUAACCGGACCUUUGCCCGAAAGUCUUAUACAACCACUAGUGCUAUUGUCAUGGAUUUGGUCUCUGAUUGCUUUGGCAUGAAUUUAGUGUGCCUUUAUAGUUCUUCUUAAACAUAAUAAUUAUGAAUUGUUUGGUAAAACUUGGUGCUGACAUUUGAUAAUAGUAAAGAUAGUGGUUAUGGUUUUAGAUAGAUUAAUUGAAGACCCAGUCAUUAUUAUUAGAUUAAUUGAUAAUGUGAUACGGUGGUGACGUCAUAAGGCAAACUUGAAUGGUUAUCUCUCCUAUCAAACUGGCCAAAGCUUAGAUAAGAUAAUUGUUUUCUUGGUUCUAGUUUUUUUGGGCCAUAAAGUUUGAAAAGAAUUAGUGAAUUUCUACUUUUAAUUGAACAAUGAUUACAUUGUUAAACUGGAAUCAAAUGGAUGGUCUCUGCAACUUCUAUCAUUUGCAUGUUUAUCUUUAGCAGCAAAUAUGGAGGAACCCCUUGUUCCUUCUCUCUUGGACCUUCAGGUAUAAACUAAUAAAUGAUUAGAAUUUAGAACCCAUGUUCAUUUGGCACUUAACAGCCUAGAACUGAAACUACAAUUAUUAUGAAGGACGGUUUUGAAAUUACUACUCAAUAUUUGUUAUAUUUUCCAUGUAGUCCACCUCUCAAUUUGAUUCUUUACUAUUAACAAUCUCUGCAUUUUAAUUUUAGGUUUCAACGUGGUUUGAACAGCAAGCCUAAUGCACUCAUCAAGAAGCUCCGCAAGGCGGCAUCAAUACUAUCACUUCCCAACAGUCUGUCAAUCACUUCAUUUUUUGCUUCUUAAGAUGUAUCCUGUUGCUUACAAUAGAAGGAUCAAUCAAACUCUUGAACGGAAGAGAAAGGUGAGUUUGUUCGACGUCGUCGACGCCGCCACCGCUAAGAUGAUGAAAACCAACAGCGGCUUAAUCAGCAACAGCCUCAUUAACCACUGGAACGGAAAUCCGUACUCUCAAAGGUACUAUGAGAUUUUGGAGAAGAGGAAAACGCUUCCUGUUUGGCACCAGAAAGAGGAUUUCUUGCAGGUUUUGAAGGAUAACUAGACUUUGAUUCUCGUUGGUGAAACUGGUAGUGGUAAAACAACGCAGAUUCCUCAAUUUGAUUUAGAGACCCCAGAUAAACGCAAGAAGAUGAUGAUUGCAUGUAGUCAGCCUCGUAGAGUGGCUGCUAUGUCUGUUUCACGACGUGUGGCUGAAGAGAUGGAUGUUACUAUUGGGGAAGAGGUCGGUUAUAGCAUCCGAUUUGAAGAUUGUAGUAGUGCAAGGACAGUUUUGAAGUAUUUAACAGAUGGUAUGCUUUUGAGAGAGGCAAUGACGAAUCCUCUUUUGGAACGAUACAAAGUAAUUAUUCUUGAUGAGGCACAUGAAAGGACUUUGGCUACAGAUGUGUUAUUUGGCCUUCUUAAGGAAGUUCUUAAAAACAGACCUGACUUGAAGUUGGUUGUUAUGAGUGCUACACUUGAAGCUGAAAAGUUUCAGGGAUAUUUUUUUGGAGCCCCUCUAAUGAAAGUUCCUGGAAGGCUACAUCCAGUUGAAAUUUUUUAUACUCAAGAACCAUUUUUUUUUUCAUUUUUUACACUCGUCAAAACUGCG